Long non-coding RNA from Boleophthalmus pectinirostris (great blue-spotted mudskipper), 214 nucleotides. RefSeq lists it as uncharacterized. The transcript has 3 exons. The record is from RefSeq and is a predicted model, not a curated record. Lineage: Eukaryota; Metazoa; Chordata; Actinopteri; Gobiiformes; Gobiidae.
CUUGUGUGUGUUUGUGUCGCCCUCUUGUGGUCAGACUUGUUUUUCUUCACUUCUGUUUCUGCGGAAGAGAAAGUGAAACUGAAGAGACUCGGUGGCGGCGCAGUGUUUUUCAGGCUGAUCGCGUCAUGACUUCAGACGAGGAUUUUUCUUUGGUUUUGGAGCCGUCGGAGGAAACAGUGGAAGGAGUCAAACGUCUGAUCCAGAAUGAGAAGGU